Molecule: ribosomal RNA, 252 nt
Filed under: uncultured bacterium
Lineage: Bacteria
Description: partial 16S ribosomal RNA
Rfam family: Bacterial small subunit ribosomal RNA
Source: RNAcentral
UACGGAGGAUGCGAGCGUUAUCCGGAUUUAUUGGGUUUAAAGGGUGCGUAGGCGGGCUUUUAAGUCAGCGGUAAAAAUUCGGGGCUCAACCCCGUCCGGCCGUUGAGACUGGGGGUCUUGAGUGGGCGAGAAGAAGGCGGAAUGCGUGGUGUAGCGGUGAAAUGCAUAGAUAUCACGCAGAACCCCGAUUGCGAAGGCAGCCUUCCGGCGCCCUACUGACGCUGAGGCACGAAAGUGCGGGGAUCGAACAGG